UUUGUUUUUUAAUUAAAAACUAGAAUGAAAGGUUAUACAUUCAAAUUUCUUUAUUAAUUUUUAAUAAAUAAUUUAUAUUAAAUAUAAAAAUAUAUUUAUAAAAAAAAAAGACGACAAGACCCUAUUAAAUUUUACUUAUAGUUUAGCUGGGGAAGCUUUUCAAUUAAAAUUUUUUAAAAUCUUAAAAUAAAUAUCUAAUUUAAAUUAAAAUUUAAAUAAAUUACUAUAGGGAUAACAGCAUUAUAUUUUUUAAAAGUUCAUAUUAAAAAAAAUGAUUGUGACCUCGAUGUUGAAUUAUAUUUUCUAUAUUUAAUGCAAUAAUUAUAAAAGUAGAUCUGUUCGAUCUUUAAAAUAUUACAUGAUUUGAGUUCAAACCGGUGUAAACCAGGUUGGUUUCUAUCUUUUUAUAUAUUUUUCCAGUACGAAAGGACAAAAAAAUUUUUAUUUUAAUAAAUUAGCAAAUAUAAUGCAUUAGAUUUAGAAUCUAAAUAUAUUUAAAUU
This 501-nucleotide unclassified non-coding RNA is filed under the name Anelosimus studiosus. Its description in RNAcentral is "partial contains 16S ribosomal RNA and tRNA-Leu (trnL)". The stretch from base 105 to 405 matches the Rfam family "Bacterial large subunit ribosomal RNA", at positions 2074 to 2646 of the family's 2925-position model. Lineage: Eukaryota; Metazoa; Arthropoda; Arachnida; Araneae; Theridiidae. The record is from RNAcentral.